This 85-nucleotide transfer RNA is filed under the name Felis catus (domestic cat). It matches the Rfam family "tRNA". From Rfam's summary of the family: Transfer RNA (tRNA) molecules are approximately 80 nucleotides in length. Their secondary structure includes four short double-helical elements and three loops (D, anti-codon, and T loops). Further hydrogen bonds mediate the characteristic L-shaped molecular structure. tRNAs have two regions of fundamental functional importance: the anti-codon, which is responsible for specific mRNA codon recognition, and the 3' end, to which the tRNAs corresponding amino acid is attached (by aminoacyl-tRNA synthetases). tRNAs cope with the degeneracy of the genetic code in two manners: having more than one tRNA (with a specific anti-codon) for a particular amino acid; and 'wobble' base-pairing, i.e. permitting non-standard base-pairing at the 3rd anti-codon position. Lineage: Eukaryota; Metazoa; Chordata; Mammalia; Carnivora; Felidae. The record is from Rfam by way of RNAcentral. RNAcentral also lists the same sequence under 1 other name.
GCCUGGGUGGCUCAGUCGGUUGGGCGUCUGACUUCGGCUCAGGUCAUGAUCUCACGGUCCGUGAGUUCGAGCCCCGCGUCAGGCU